GCAAUUUACAUAGUAGACUACAAUGGAGUAGAGUACAAUAAUCAAAAAUCCUAUAAAUAUCACUGUUUAAAAUACAGUAGGUACAGUCAGUGUAAUGUAAUCUUGUAACUAUCCUGCUGACAUCUGAUUGAGAUUAUUACCUUCUUUCCAUGUAGUAGCCUAAUAUGUGAUCUUACAACUCUGGUAACUAAAACUGGAGACAUUUGCUACUUUGUGCUACCUGCUCAUUCAAAAUUACGAAAUAACAGCAGGGAAAUUAUGUUUGUUUUUACAGGUUAUUAAAAGAAUGACCCAGGUUCCUGAGGAGCUGACCUGAAUGACCAUUAUGGCCUCAAUCCGUUGUGCCUCUAUAUUCUUUGCAAAAUGCAAUGAAUAUUUACAGAGCUGACCAUGGCCGUUUGAGAGUCAGAGGAAUGGAAAGGCAAUGAAGUGACUUGGCCUACAGGUCUUUUGUGAGCAGGAGCUGGGGUUUCCUUAGAAGAAGCGUCCGUGUCAUGAUCCCCUUGUGUGUGGUGCUACGCAUAUGGAGGGAGCUUCCGGAUACUUCAGGGCAGUACGUUGGAUUCAGACCCCUUUUCGACUGAACCGUGACACAUGUUCAGCAACAGCAUCCUCCAUGGAAGGUCUGUCAAGCUGAGCACACAAGUCCUGGGGCACAGGAAUCCGCUGGACGGCAUCCCAAUAAGGAAGAGGGUCUUUGAUGAUCUCGAAGAGGACAAGAAAGAGGACUUAUAUUGGAUACUGUAAUACAGUGCAUUGUAGGCUGUAUACUGUACAAUAAACAAAUUGUAUGGCCCUGAA
This is a long non-coding RNA of Alosa sapidissima (American shad), 801 nucleotides long. RefSeq lists it as uncharacterized. The record is from RefSeq and is a predicted model, not a curated record. Lineage: Eukaryota; Metazoa; Chordata; Actinopteri; Clupeiformes; Clupeidae. The transcript is spliced from 2 exons.